CACUAUCAAAAUUUUCUAAAUAUAUAUGUGUCAUGUAAACUGAUAAUAUCCUCAAUUUAUUACGAAUAACGCUUCAUGCAAACAGCUAACUACAUCCAUGGAGUGUCAUGCAUACACCAAUAGCCAGAAAAUCAUACUACUGGUUAAUAUCCGACUUUGCUAAAACAUAGAGUCCAUUGGUAAUGGGAAAUGAGAAAUAAUACAGGACCCAAAAAACAAAGUUCCCAACAAUCUUCUCAUCUAGACAGCAGCAUGCAUUAUACUAAUUAAGCCAAGUUUCAUGAAACUGUGAAGCUGGUGGUAUCACUCGGCCUUCAAUGAUGUGGCAAUGUCGAUCACAAACCGGUAUUUAACAUCAGAUUUCACAAGGCGAUCCAUUGCAGUGUUGAUGUAAUCAAUAGGG
RNAcentral lists this long non-coding RNA (403 nucleotides) under Olea europaea subsp. europaea. Lineage: Eukaryota; Viridiplantae; Streptophyta; Magnoliopsida; Lamiales; Oleaceae. The record is from RNAcentral.